AAGGGUAGAGCUCAGUGGUAGAGCGCGUGCUUAAUUAAAUGCAUGAGGUCCUGGGUUCACUCCUCAGUACCUCCA
RNAcentral lists this transfer RNA (75 nucleotides) under Camelus bactrianus (Bactrian camel). It matches the Rfam family "tRNA". From Rfam's summary of the family: Transfer RNA (tRNA) molecules are approximately 80 nucleotides in length. Lineage: Eukaryota; Metazoa; Chordata; Mammalia; Artiodactyla; Camelidae. The record is from Rfam by way of RNAcentral. RNAcentral also lists the same sequence under 1 other name.